This 2868-nucleotide long non-coding RNA is filed under the name Hordeum vulgare. RNAcentral's name for it is "long non-coding RNA (HVUL_LNC011859)". Lineage: Eukaryota; Viridiplantae; Streptophyta; Magnoliopsida; Poales; Poaceae. The record is from RNAcentral.
ACCAUAUGCCUCAAAGUCACCAAUAAUAUGACUAACCGUUUAAUGGUGCAAUUUCUUACAAACUGCAACAGAUGAAGACCAAAGGUAUAUUUGGGGUUAGUCUAUCAUGUGGUUCUUCCUAGUCUCCCCCACUCAAUUGCCUAGAUUUUCUUUUUUACCAAAACUCACCCCUUUCCAGCAGCAGCAUACCAAAAGGGUCUGCUGGAAAAGGUAGUAGAGUAAAGUUUUUUUAUGUUAGGAAUAUGCAACUUAUGUUUAUUGAAGGCCCAAGGGGCAUAUAUAUAUUACACAAGACUUGAGGUGCAAGGAAAGUAAACAUAGACUAAUAAGGACUCCUAGACUAAUACUAAUAGACUAAUGAGGACUCCUAGACUAAUACUAAUACUUCCUAACACCCCCCCUCAAAUGCAAAGCGUAUGCAAUAGCAUUGCAUUUGAAGAAGUGUAAUACUGAAGAAAAAAAAUGAUAAUCCAAAUCCGCGUCUUGAGAGUGUCGUCAUAGCAUGAAGAGUCUUCAAAACUUGUCGAGUCGCCGAAGGAGAUAACGAAGAGAUGGCACAUCAGAGGUAGACACCGCAUCACUUGAAGAUACAAGAUAAGUAUCAAGAGAAGAUGGGUUGUCAAAAGAAGAUGUCACAUCAAGAGAAUAAAGCAUUGUGCAGAAAAUCAUAGUCCACGACAACCGUCGGCGAAGGAAGCUCGGCGGAUAAGGCACGAUGGACGUAGAUCGGUCAUGCAAAAGAAGUCCAGAAAAUCCUAUAGAAAACAACAAGGGCAAAUAGGCCACAAAAGUUGCAUAGAAAGGAUAAGGACCGGAGAAAGGCUCACGGACUAAGUUAUGGUGGACUCGCAUGGCAUGAGAAAACACAAAAUAUCAACGGAUUUGGUGGACGCAGCGGAAAAUAAAGAGAACUAAAAAAACUAGGAGCAACUGGGACAUAAGCAGCAGCACGUAUAGGAGGAAGCAGCUAGCAGCAGCACGUAUAGGAGGAAGCAGCUAGCAGCAACACGUAGCAGCAGAACGCAGCAGCAGAAUUUUUUUUUUUAGGAAUCAGCAGUAGCAAGCCGGAUCCAAUCGAGAUCAGGACGGGAUUGGGGCGGCGGCUGGCGGUUGCUGCAACAGGAGGCAGAUCCGAGUCGGAUCGCGAGAAGUAGCCGAGCCUCGAUCUGGUGCGGUGGCUGCAGGGAAGACAGCUCCGUCCGAUGGGACCCUGGAGCUGCUUCGAUCCAGUCCAGGGGAGACAGCUCCUCCCGAUGAGAGCCUGGAGCUGCUUAGAUCCGGUGCAGGGAGACAGCUCCUCCCGAUGGGACCCUGGAGCCCCUGUCCCGCGACUGGAUCGGGAGGAAAUCGAUUUGGCGGACGGGAAGCAGCCGCCUCGAUCUGGCUGUGGAGAGGAAGCCUCCUCGAUCUUGGUCGGGAGGGAGCCGCUCGAGGCAUGGGAGGGAACCGCCUCGAUCUGGCGAGCGACGGGAGAAACGCGGAGGGAGCCGCCUCGAUCGGCCUCGAUCUGGCGAGCGACGGGAGAAAACAGCAGCGCUCGGGAUCCCGUCGAGAGUAGAAGGAGAUCGGCAGCAGCUACUAGACGAACAGCGGCUGCGUGGAGAAGAUCGGAGCACGAGUUGCGCGUGCGAAAAAAAAACCUAAGGCUCUAAUACCAUGUUAGGAAUAUGCAACUUAUGUUUAUUGAAGGCCCAAGGGGCAUAUAUAUAUUACACAAGACUUGAGGUGCAAGGAAAGUAAACAUAGACUAAUAAGGACUCCUAGACUAAUACUAAUAGACUAAUGAGGACUCCUAGACUAAUACUAAUACUUCCUAACAUUUUACAGUGUCAAAAAACGUCUUAUAUUUUGAUACGGAGGGGGUAAUACUGAACAACAUGGUACGAUGACACAUGACCCAAAAUAAAAUUUCUCUGAAGUGACCAAAAUACACUAUUCUUAGAGUAGCAACAAUACUAGGAGGGGUAGGAGCCGACCAAAGUUGACAUGGGGGGAGGUGAUAAAAAGAGGCUUGAAGGAUUGGGAUGUACCCAGGGAUUUGUCUCUUGAUAGGACUACAUGGAAUGAUGGAAGUCAGUAGUUCAUGUACCAGAACCUUGAUUUAUUUUGUUUACUUUUACUUUCUCUAUUCUCUUUUGGGUUCUUACUGUUUUCUGUUGGGUUUCAUCUCUAGCCUACCCCAAAUUGCUUGGGAUAAAAAGGCUUUGUUGUUGUUGACCAAAAUACUAUUAUAAAUUCCACCGAGAUAUAAUGAGUGCACUCCAUAAAAUGAGCCAAGUCUGAUCUACACAGCAACAGAGUCAGAUUCAACAUAUACGGAGGUAAACUUCAACCAACGCAUCAUAAUUUCCUAGUCAAAAGGACCAAGAACUAGUCCAGGUCAAAAUCCAUAUUUUCCCCCUCUAACUCCUACAAUACAUAGCAGUACCUAUCAUACGGUACAGUUUUUUCAAAUGUAUUUGCCAUCUGGCACCAAAUUUGAACUUUUCUUGGGAAGGAAGAUGAAACUAAAGUGUGAUCCAAGAGGUCACGAGUUUUUUUAAGAGCCUAUAUACUAGCCACCAGAACAGAUAUGCAAGAAAGUUUCCUAUUCCAGCUGCAUUCUUCCAAAGGUGUCUGCAUAAAUUGACCCAUACUACCCUACAAGACACCUAACAAAUGCAUCAAUCUCUAAACUGGAUGAACCACCUAAUAAGUCCAAUGGUCCAAUACCCCGAAUCUCUUUGACAUUUUCUGGGUCUAAAAGCAAUCAAUAAACAUCAAAGUCCCACUCUUAACUCUGUUGGUCGCCACAUCGUUUCUCCUGUUUAUCAAGGGUUCUAGUCCUAACCCGAGAGCCCGAACCUAGACCUUUCCACUGCAUAGGGC